This 386-nucleotide ribosomal RNA is filed under the name uncultured bacterium. RNAcentral describes it as "bacterial SSU rRNA". It matches the Rfam family "Bacterial small subunit ribosomal RNA", at positions 28 to 407 of the family's 1533-position model. The record is from RNAcentral.
GAUGAACGCUAGCUACAGGCUUAACACAUGCAAGUCGAGGGGCAGCGUGGAGCAGCAAUGCUCUGACGGCGACCGGCGGAAGGGUGCGUAACACGUGAGCGACUUGCCCGUCACAGGGGGAUAACCGGCGGAAACGGCGACUAAUACCCCAUACGAUGCGAUGCUGCAUGGCAUUGCAUUGAAAGAUUCAUCGGUGGCGGAUAGGCUCGCGGGACAUUAGCUAGACGGCGGGGCAACGGCCCACCGUGGCGACGAUGUCUAGGGGGUUCUGAGAGGAAGGCCCCCCUANACUGGGACUGAGACACGGCCCAGACUCCUACGGGAGGCCAGCAGUGAGGAAUAUUGGUCAAUGGGCGGAAGCCUGAACCAGCCAUGCCGCGUGAAGG